GUUUCCGUAGUGUAGUGGUUAUCACGUGUGCUUCACACGCACAAGGUCCUCGGUUCGAACCCGGGCGGAAACA
This is a non-coding RNA of Diorhabda carinulata, 73 nucleotides long. The record is from the annotation of a RefSeq genome assembly. Lineage: Eukaryota; Metazoa; Arthropoda; Insecta; Coleoptera; Chrysomelidae.